GAUAAGGGAAGGAAUUAAACCCUCUUAAGUAGGACUACAGCCUACCGCCUAACAGUCGGCCACUUUACC
RNAcentral lists this transfer RNA (69 nucleotides) under Anolis purpurescens (purple anole). RNAcentral describes it as "tRNA-Tyr". The record is from RNAcentral. Lineage: Eukaryota; Metazoa; Chordata; Lepidosauria; Squamata; Anolidae.